GCCCGGGUGGCGGAAUGGUAGACGCAAGGGACUUAAAAUCCCUCGGAAGUUUUUUCCGUGCCGGUUCAAGUCCGGCUCCGGGCACCA
Molecule: transfer RNA, 87 nt
Filed under: Campylobacter fetus subsp. fetus
Lineage: Bacteria; Pseudomonadati; Campylobacterota; Epsilonproteobacteria; Campylobacterales; Campylobacteraceae
Also listed under: 1 other name
Description: tRNA-Leu(taa)
Rfam family: tRNA
About the family: Transfer RNA (tRNA) molecules are approximately 80 nucleotides in length. Their secondary structure includes four short double-helical elements and three loops (D, anti-codon, and T loops).
Source: RNAcentral